This 802-nucleotide ribosomal RNA is filed under the name uncultured bacterium. RNAcentral describes it as "bacterial SSU rRNA". It matches the Rfam family "Bacterial small subunit ribosomal RNA", at positions 17 to 806 of the family's 1533-position model. The record is from RNAcentral.
UUUUGGCUCAGGACGAACGCUGGCGGCGGUGCUUCACACAUGCAAGUCGAACGGGGAUAGAGCGCAGGCUUGCCUAUGCUCUUUCCUAGUGGCGGACGGGUGAGUAACACGUGAGCAACCUGCCCGACAACCCGGGAUAACAGCGGGAAACCGUUGCUAAUACCGGAUACACCAGUAUUAACGCAUGUUAUAACUGGGAAAGGGUUUACCGAUGUCGGAUGGGCUCGCGACCCAUUAGCUUGUUGGUGGGGUAAUGGCCUACCAAGGCUGCGAUGGGUAGCUGGUCUGAGAGGACGAUCAGCCUCACUGGUACUGAGACACGGACCAGACUCCUACGGGAGGCAGCAGUGAGGAAUAUUGGUCAAUGGGCGAGAGCCUGAACCAGCCAAAUCGCGUGAAGGAUGAAGGUAUUAUGUAUUGUAAACUUCUUUUACAGGGGAAUAAAGUGCGGGACGUGUCCUGUUUUGUAUGUACCCUGAGAAUAAGGAUCGGCUAACUCCGUGCCAGCAGCCGCGGUAAUACGGAGGAUCCAAGCGUUAUCCGGAUUUAUUGGGUUUAAAGGGUGCGUAGGCGGGGAAUCAAGUCAGCGGUGAAAGUUUGCGGCUCAACCGUAAAAUUGCCGUUGAAACUGGUUCUCUUGAGUGUAGAUGAGGUGGGUGGAAUUCGUGGUGUAGCGGUGAAAUGCUUAGAUAUCACGAAGAACUCCAAUUGCGUAGGCAGCUCACUGGGCUACAACUGACGCUGAGGCACGAAGGUGCGGGGAUCAAAAAGAAUUAGAUACCCUGGUAGUCCGCACAGUAAA